UGGGGAAUUUUGGACAAUGGGCGAAAGCCUGAUCCAGCAAUGCCGCGUGUGUGAAGAAGGCCUUCGGGUUGUAAAGCACUUUUGUCCGGAAAGAAAUCCUUGGCUCUAAUACAGUCGGGGGAUGACGGUACCGGAAGAAUAAGCACCGGCUAACUACGUGCCAGCAGCCGCGGUAAUACGUAGGGUGCAAGCGUUAAUCGGAAUUACUGGGCGUAAAGCGUGCGCAGGCGGUUUGCUAAGACCGAUGUGAAAUCCCCGGGCUCAACCUGGGAACUGCAUUGGUGACUGGCAGGCUAGAGUAUGGCAGAGGGGGGUAGAAUUCCACGUGUAGCAGUGAAAUGCGUAGAGAUGUGGAGGAAUACCGAUGGCGAAGGCAGCCCCCUGGGUCAAUACUGACGCUCAUGCACGAAAGCGUGGGGAGCAAACAGGAUUAGAUAUCCUGGUAGUCCACGCCCUAAACGAUGUCAACUAGUUGUUGGGGAUUCAUUUCCUUAGUAACGUAGCUAACGCGUGAAGUUGACCGCCUGGGGAGUACGGCCGCAAGAUUAAAACUCAAAUGAAUUGAC
RNAcentral lists this ribosomal RNA (566 nucleotides) under uncultured bacterium. Its description in RNAcentral is "partial 16S ribosomal RNA". It matches the Rfam family "Bacterial small subunit ribosomal RNA", at positions 355 to 914 of the family's 1533-position model. The record is from RNAcentral.